UUGCUUCAGCAGCACAUAUACUAAAAUUGGAAUAAUACUGAGAAAAUUAGCAUGGCCUCAGCACAAAGAUGACUUGAAAAUUCAUGAACCAUUCUAUAUUUUA
Small nuclear RNA from Gracilinanus agilis (Agile Gracile Mouse Opossum), 103 nucleotides. The record is from RefSeq and is a predicted model, not a curated record. Lineage: Eukaryota; Metazoa; Chordata; Mammalia; Didelphimorphia; Didelphidae.